UAAUGAUGGCCAGGCUGUCUCCACCCGAGACUCAGUGAAAUUGAACUCGCUGUGAAGAUGCAGUGUACCCGCGGCAAGACGGAAAGACCCCGUGAACCUUUACUAUAGCUUGACACUGAACAUUGAGCCUUGAUGUGUAGGAUAGGUGGGAGGCUUUGAAGCGUGGACGCCAGUCUGCGUGGAGCCGACCUUGAAAUACCACCCUUUAAUGUUUGAUGUUCUAACGUGGACCCGUAAUCCGGGUUGCGGACAGUGUCUGGUGGGUAGUUUGACUGGGGCGGUCUCCUCCUAAAGAGUAACGGAGGAGCACGAAGGUUGGCUAAUCCUGGUCGGACAUCAGGAGGUUAGUGCAAUGGCAUAAGCCAGCUUGACUGCGAGCGUGACGGCGCGAGCAGGUGCGAAAGCAGGUCAUAGUGAUCCGGUGGUUCUGAAUGGAAGGGCCAUCGCUCAACGGAUAAAAGGUACUCCGGGGAUAACAGGCUGAUACCGCCCAAGAGUUCAUAUCGACGGCGGUGUUUGGCACCUCGAUGUCGGCUCAUCACAUCCUGGGGCUGAAGUAGGUCCCAAGGGUAUGGCUGUUCGCCAUUUAAAGUGGUACGCGAGCUGGGUUUAGAACGUCGUGAGACAGUUCGGUCCCUAUCUGCCGUGGGCGCUGGAGAACUGAGGGGGGCUGCUCCUAGUACGAGAGGACCGGAGUGGACGCAUCACUGGUGUUCGGGUUGUCAUGCCAAUGGCACUGCCCGGUAGCUAAAUGCGGAAGAGAUAAGUGCUGAAAGCAUCUAAGCACGAAACUUGCCCCGA
This 801-nucleotide ribosomal RNA is filed under the name Salmonella enterica. RNAcentral's name for it is "partial 23S ribosomal RNA". It matches the Rfam family "Bacterial large subunit ribosomal RNA", at positions 2002 to 2802 of the family's 2925-position model. The record is from RNAcentral. Lineage: Bacteria; Pseudomonadati; Pseudomonadota; Gammaproteobacteria; Enterobacterales; Enterobacteriaceae.